This 219-nucleotide long non-coding RNA is filed under the name Amborella trichopoda. Its description in RNAcentral is "long non-coding RNA (ATRI_LNC000555)". Lineage: Eukaryota; Viridiplantae; Streptophyta; Magnoliopsida; Amborellales; Amborellaceae. The record is from RNAcentral.
AAAGGCAUUACAAUCUUUACACACAAGAUUAACCUUGAUACAUGUGACCUAGGGGUACACAAAGACAUUACAAUAUUGACAUCCAAUAUUAGCCUUAAUACAUGUCACCCAUGGGUACACAAAGGCAUUACAAUAUUGACACCCAAAAUUAACCUUAAAUCUGUGACCCAAGGGUACACAAAAACAUUAUAAUUUUGACACCCAAGAUUAACCUUAAUA